AGAGUUGAUCCUGGCUUAGGAUGAACGCUAGCGACAGGCUUAACACAUGCAAGUCGAGGGGCAUCACGGGAGUAGCAAUACAACUGGUGGCGACCGGCGCACGGGUGAGUAACGCGUAUGCAACCUACCUAUCAGAGGGGAAUAACCCGGCGAAAGUCGGACUAAUACCGCAUAAAACAGGGGCACCGCAUGGUGAUAUUUGUUAAAGAAAUUCGCUGAUAGAUGGGCAUGCGUUCCAUUAGGUAGUUGGUGAGGUAACGGCUCACCAAGCCGACGAUGGAUAGGGGAACUGAGAGGUUGGUCCCCCACACUGGUACUGAGACACGGACCAGACUCCUACGGGAGGCAGCAGUGAGGAAUAUUGGUCAAUGGGCGGGAGCCUGAACCAGCCAAGUCGCGUGAAGGAAAGAAGGAUCUAUGGUUCGUAAACUUCUUUUGCAGGGGAAUAAAGUGCAGGACGUGUCCUGUUUUGUAUGUACCCUGAGAAUAAGGAUCGGCUAACUCCGUGCCAGCAGCAGC
This 519-nucleotide ribosomal RNA is filed under the name uncultured bacterium. RNAcentral describes it as "bacterial SSU rRNA". It matches the Rfam family "Bacterial small subunit ribosomal RNA", at positions 8 to 518 of the family's 1533-position model. The record is from RNAcentral.